RNAcentral lists this ribosomal RNA (1458 nucleotides) under Triticum aestivum (bread wheat). Its description in RNAcentral is "partial small subunit ribosomal RNA". The record is from RNAcentral. Lineage: Eukaryota; Viridiplantae; Streptophyta; Magnoliopsida; Poales; Poaceae.
AUGCCUAGAGACGUCAUCGACAAUCGAGUUGAAACAAAACUGCAGGUGGUGGAUGCUUUUAAGGCGGCCUCCUUCCUACCGCCAAACCUGCAGUCAUUCUUCUUCAUGCCGGCUCAUGGUACUGCUGGCGGUUUGCUAAUUGCCUGGGAUCAGUCUUUGUUGUCAGCAUCCGAGAUAUACAAGCAUAGAUUCUGUAUUUUAGUCCGUUUCGGUUCUACCAGUGACAACACUUCCUUUCACCUCACAACUGUCUAUGCACCCUGCGAGGAUUCAGACCGACCAGAAUUAUUCGCUGUGAUGGAACAAGUUGCCAUGUUGAAUGCUGGUCCAUGGAUUAUUUUAGGGGAUUUCAACAUGUACAGGCAUCAAGAAGAAAAGUCCCGUGGCAGGAAGAACUUGAUUCUAAUGGACAGAUUUAAUGAAUGGAUCAGGGAUGCUGCUAUGGAUGACAUUGAUAUUCUGAAUCGCUCGUUCACUUGGUCAAACAAGAGAAGAAACCCAACUCUCAUCAAGCUGGACCGUGUCCUGGUUAAUGCUGAGUGGAACCUUGGUUUUUUAAACACCGAAGAUUCUGUUGUUACAGCCACCACUUCGGAUCAUGCGCCGAUCUUGGUACAUUUCAACACUGACAGAGUGACUAGCAAGCUUUUCAGGUUUGAAAAUCAUUGGCUACAAUGCUCUGAGCUGAGACAAAUCAUUUCUAAUGGUUUGACCAGAGGAACAAGGCACUUCUCUUCGGCUGCCUCUCUCCUUAACUUCAAACUCAGGCGAACACGUGCAGCAGUACGCAAAUGCACAAAAUCCAGAGCAGCUCUGCAAGUACUACUACAAAAUUGUAAGCAUGUGGUCUCCUUCUUUGAUGUUGUAGAGGAAAAGAGGGCUCUUACAGCUUUGGAAUUAUCCAUGAGAAAGUUUGACAUUGAGAAGGCACAGCAGAUCGUCUAUUGGCAGACGGACGCUUGGAGGCGCCGUGCAAAAAUUAAAGGAUGUCUACUGGGCGAUGAAAACACUGCUUUCUUCCAUGCUGCGGCCAACUGUCAUCAUAGAAAGAACAAGAUUAAGCUUCUGAUAAACAAUGGUGUUGAGCAUUUUGACAUCAAGAACAAGCUUAUGAUUGCUACGGACUUCUUUCGGAGUAUUUUUGGACAAUCAUCGCCCUCACUGCCAACAGUGGAUAUCAACUCCCUGUAUGACCGAUCCGACCUAUAUGCUUUAGAGGAACCUUUCACCUGGGCCGAGAUUGUUUCAGCUAUCGACAAAUCACCAAACAACAGAAGCCCUGGCCUGGAUGGAUACACCAAUGAAUUCUUCAAAUCCUUUCGAAAUGAGCUCAAGGAUGACCUGCUCCUUUUCUUCAAUGAUUUUUAUAACUGCAGGGCUGAUCUUCAAGGUGUCAACACAGCCAAUAUUGUUCUCAUCCCAAAGACAGACAACCCGGUGGACAUCAAGAAUUUCUGA